This is a long non-coding RNA of Zalophus californianus (California sea lion), 827 nucleotides long. RefSeq lists it as uncharacterized. The transcript has 4 exons. Lineage: Eukaryota; Metazoa; Chordata; Mammalia; Carnivora; Otariidae. The record is from RefSeq and is a predicted model, not a curated record.
GCUAGCCUUCUCAGCUAGCCUUUAGAUUUGUCUGCUAACAGUAAAAAUACUAUAAUAAAUCGGUAACAUAUGUUGCCAGGCAAGGAAAAGUGAUAUAAAUAAAGAGACCAGGAGACCCAAACCAAGUGCAAUGUGAAAAGAAUUUAACUUUCAAUCUAUUCGUUAGCUAAUUAUCAUUUGAAAAGUAAUUUGAAAGUGUUACAGUUAUUUGCUUAUAUUCUUCCUCAUUUUUCUUUUUUUCUCUUCAGAUUGCAUUCUUACCCAAAUACUCUUCGUGAUUGCCUGCUUUGCGGCUUUGGGCAAGUAUUUGUCAAGAAGAUCUAUGAGGAAUAACCUCGCAGGCCCCUAAAAAUAAGAAUUUUCCUAGUGUGAAAUGAUGCCCUUUGUGGAAUGAUUCUUCAGGGAGUGGAGGACAUUCACGUGGAUUGACAUCCCAAUUUUCUCAUCCUGUUGAAGCCGGCUUUUUCAUUUACCGACAACUAACUCAAAAAUCUUAAAUUUGAUAUUUUGAGGUUUGCAUUUCCAAAUAUCCAAAAACUCUUCCUUUUCAUAUGGCCCCUCCCCAGCAUGUUCUGAAGUGGUCUAUUUCAAACAAAAGAAGAUGACAUCCCUCUUUCAACUAGCAAAUGUUGGAUUCUCUAAACCGACUGGGGGCAAACUGGAAGUUUUGCAAUUAGAUUCACACAAACUGAAUUAUGUUCAUUAUUCCCAAACAUUCUUCUUCGAACUUCACAAAUAUAACAAUACUGAGUUUUUAGAGUUUCCUGUGGCUUGUUUACAAAUAAAGGUAUCUCGAUAAAAACCAAGCCCUGUGUAUUUUUGAAAAA